RNAcentral lists this long non-coding RNA (3043 nucleotides) under Marmota monax (woodchuck). The record is from RNAcentral. Lineage: Eukaryota; Metazoa; Chordata; Mammalia; Rodentia; Sciuridae.
CGAUUUAUUCAUUUAUUUAUUUUUGUUUUGUUUUGUUUACAAAUUGCACUUAGCCUCCCCUUGGGGCCUCCUGCCAGGCUGGGGGAGGCUUUGUGGGAUGGCGCACCCCAUCCCACCUGCCCUACGGCUCCUGGGAAGGCCCAGGCUCCCUGGCUUUUUGUGGGAACAGGAAUGAGGACAGGGGACAAUGGGCCUGGGCGUCAUCUGCCCACCCGCAAUGCCUCAGGCAGGCUGGAUUCCACCUGAGGCCCCGCCUGGGGCUGUGCUGACCCCCUACGGCCACCUGGGGGGAGGGGACAUGCCUGAGGCUGGCGGGGCUGCAGGAAGGAACCCCCGGGAGUGGCUCCUCAAGCUCUGGCCUCUUCGGGAGCCACCGUCCUCUGAGCACCCUGGACCCCGCCUCAGGUUCCGGGUGGGGGAGCUCUGCCCUCUGAAGGAUGUGAGGUCUUCUUGCCCCCGAAACCUCCCGGGCCUGUGUUCGCCAUCCCACGACGACGAGGUGAAUCAAGUACGUAUUUUUAUUUGUUUUUGGUACCAGGGAUUGAGCUCAGGGGCACUUGACCACUGAGCCACACCCCAGCCCUAUUUUGUGUUAUAUUUAGAGACGGGGUCUCCCUGAGUUGCUUAGGGCCUCACGGAGGCUGAGGCUGGGGCUGGCUUUGAACUAGCGAUCCUCCUGCCUCAGCCUCCUGAGCAGCUGCCCCACUGUGCCCGGCUUAUUGGACCAUAAAUCCCGAGCAGGUAGAAACGAACAAGCACAACUGGGCACUCCUGGUUAGUACCAGGGAGGUCACAGAGUCAUGUUCAUGGAUCAGUAACUUUGUUUCAAAACAAAAAAACAGGCUCGGGUAACGAUGGCCAAGCCCCUCAUGCAGAGAACUGUGAGGACCCUGCAUGUCGCCGCCCUGACCAGGCCGCAUGAGGGCCCCUGCAGCCUCCUCCUUGGGGCACCGCCUUGCGCAUGCACGAGACCCAACACACGCUUGGUUUGUGCACAGAAGAGUCGUCUUACAAGAGGUCCCCGCGCGCUCUGUAGUGCCUUUUUAAAUUAUUACUUUCAAUAUGGUUGGUGCAAUUUUAAUCAGUACGAUUUAAUAGGGAUUUCAUCACACGGGCACCCGGGGAGCUGGCCGAACCCUCUGUGGCGGGCAUUUCCCAUCCCCCGCCCCAGUCUUUAACUUUUAUAAACAACGCUGCCUGCCGUGGACACCUGUCCUGGAGAACACCUGCUAUCUGCUGGGAUAAGUGCCCACAGGUCCAUUUCUAGGUUGCUUUAACACUUCUGGUCACUGAGCACCAUGCUGGACCCCGCUGCUCUGCCCCAGGCCCUUGGGUGGCCCCUUCAGCACACAAUGAGAAGGUCCAUUCCCCACACCCACUUUUUUUUUUUUUUUUGGUCUUUGCCAAUCUGAUAGGUAGGAAUGAUGAGUCACUGCAGCUCUGAUUGCAUUUCCUUGAUUCCUGGCAGAGCAGAGCUUGUCUUCACAUUUGCAUUCACCUCGGUAAAUAGUUGAUUUUAUAAUAAGGGGUUUGCCAUUUCCUAUUGUUUCCCCAAAACUCUUUGUAUAUGAAGGAUAUUAACCCUUCCUAAGGAUCCCACAAGGGACAAGGAUGGAAGCUUCUCUCCUUUCCCUCCUCCCCUCCUCCCUUCCUUGGGUUCCCUUGUGCUUUCGAAGGAUGUGCCUAAUGUUCUGGCCAGCAGCUCAUGAAUUACACUAGGAAGUCACUUUAAGGACAAACCCACUUAACCACGUCCUUUGUUCCCGCCUCCUGAUAAGCUCUGAGCCAGCUCCUUCAUCACCCCCAUCCUUCCUCAAUGAGGGGCAGGUUGCAGGCUGGGAAGGAGGUUUCAUUUUCACUGUGACUCGCUGACGCGCUGCCAGACAGCUGUUUACAUAGGAAAUGACUUGAUGACACUGUGCAGCCAACGGAGGCCUCAGAACGCGGGACCCAGAAACAGAGGUCAAGGCCGUUCACUGUGCAGAGCAACGCAGCCCCCCACAGCUCCCACCAAAAGUAACAACAGUUUUCCAGGGAAAACUAAGAACAGGGUCAUGGUUUCCUACUAAAAACGUGUGAAGGAAAGACUUCUGAGAGGAGACGGAGGCUUCUAAGAGCCCAGCUGCCCUCUCAAAUUAGACCAGCGGGCAACUGCCUGUCUUUGUGACCUUGGGAAAAUCACUUAACUGCCCUGGAUCUCCAUUUCUUCACUCGUAAAAUCAGCCUCAAAAGGAACCAGUGAGAGGGUUAAAUGAGAUAAUGCAUAGGAAGCCCUUUUUAGUUAGAAUGUCUUCAGCCCAAUAAAAAGAACUCUUGACUAAAGGUAGAAAAAAGAGAGAGAGAGAGAGAGAGAGAGAGAGGAUUUAUGAUUUCAGCUAACAGGGCUGUUCAGUUUGGAAGCCUGAAGCCGUAACCAAGGACUCACACCCUUCCCAUUUUCCUGGCCUGUCAUUAAUUAUAGAUGCCUCUCCUCAAGGUUUCCAUAUGGCUGCUGCAGUUCCAGGCAUCACAUGCAGACAUGAUAAUAUCAAGCAAAGAAGAGGAGGGAUAUUUCCUUCCAUGCAUCUCCUUUUAUGAGAGAUUCCCCUACGGACUUCCCAAUGGUUCAGAUCGAUCACAUGUUCAGAUCAAUCACUGAUGGUGGGAAAAAAAUCACAACAAUUGGCCUAGACCACACCACUGCCUUUGAGGCUGGGAAGGGGAAUGUUCCCUUUCCCUGAUCACCUGGGUAGGUGCACACCUGGCAAACAAAUCCACGGGAAGAAGGCUUGUGGGAGGGGGUAACCACGGGACCACAGCACAGGUCCUGGCGUAUACUAGGUGCUGGAGGCUGGCAUUCUGCAAGCUCCAGCGGGGGUCUGGGCAGCCCUCCACACGGGAAGGCCACGACUAACUGUCCAGGGAGUCCCUGGGAGCCGGACCCGUGUCCAAGUCCCCGCUCCCCAUCUCCACGUGGCGGGCCUAAGGACACGCAGGCCAAGGCGCCAUGUUUGACCUCAGCCUCUUCUCCUCCUCGGCCUCCCCAGUCCUCCUCUCUGCCCAC